CACCUGGUCUUGCUGUCGUUAGAAGCACGUCACCGGGAGUCCAGCGUGCAGAAUGAGGUUUUCGCUGGGGACAAGAGGAGAUGGUUGCACUGUGCGCUGGAGCUGACUAGGAGCGAAGGAGAGGCUGCCUCCAGGCCGUAUGGUCAGGAUGUCUUUGCCCAAAUGUGGUAAAUGACUACACCAAGCAGUCAGCCCAGGAGCGCGGUGGUCACCUAAACGUAGAUGAUGUCGGCUUGUGCAAACUGUCCUGGACUUCACAAGGUGAGCUGCUGCCCUCCUGCAAAGCUGACAGGCACAGCUGGCGCAGGAUGCUUGGAG
RNAcentral lists this long non-coding RNA (318 nucleotides) under Apteryx rowi (Okarito brown kiwi). Its description in RNAcentral is "lncRNA (ENSARWG00000006132.1)". Lineage: Eukaryota; Metazoa; Chordata; Aves; Apterygiformes; Apterygidae. The record is from RNAcentral.